Molecule: ribosomal RNA, 329 nt
Filed under: Skeletonema menzelii
Lineage: Eukaryota; Bacillariophyta; Thalassiosirophyceae; Thalassiosirales; Thalassiosiraceae
Description: partial Bacterial small subunit ribosomal RNA
Rfam family: Bacterial small subunit ribosomal RNA
Source: RNAcentral
CAUGACGGUACCGUAAGAAUAAGCACCGGCUAACUACGUGCCAGCAGCCGCGGUAAUACGUAGGGCGCAAGCGUUGUCCGGAAUUAUUGGGCGUAAAGAGCUUGUAGGCGGUUUGUCGCGUCUGCUGUGAAAGACCGGAGCUUAACUCCGUGUAUUGCAGUGGGUACGGGCAGACUAGAGUGCAGUAGGGGAGACUGGAAUUCCUGGUGUAGCGGUGAAAUGCGCAGAUAUCAGGAGGAACACCGAUGGCGAAGGCAGGUCUCUGGGCUGUAACUGACGCUGAGAAGCGAAAGCAUGGGGAGCGAACAGGAUUAGAUACCCUGGUAGUC